This is a long non-coding RNA of Lathyrus oleraceus (garden pea), 374 nucleotides long. RefSeq lists it as uncharacterized. The record is from RefSeq and is a predicted model, not a curated record. Lineage: Eukaryota; Viridiplantae; Streptophyta; Magnoliopsida; Fabales; Fabaceae. The transcript has 2 exons.
GGGACAAGAUGCUUCUCGGUCAAGGUUGCGCUUGAAGCAGAUGAAGACAAAGACGAAUGUGUUUCAAGGAUGAUUUGGCUUGGAGUUUAGUCAUGAUUUCAAAACACUUGGGGUGAGGCUACCAUGAAGGUAAAGGAUGAUGGCUUGGAGAAAAAAAAGACAUGACUUGCUUGCAAAUGAAGUCAAAAUAGAAGAUGAAAGAGUGAAGACCAAAGUGAAAAUUAGGAUUAGGUUUAACGAUUAGGUUAGUUGACUUUGGUCUACUGGUUGACCAAAGUCAACUGUAGGUCAAAGUUACAUUUUUUUUUGUAAUUUUGUAUAGAUUCUUGUAAUUUUGGUCUUGUGCAAAUGAAAUGGAAACUUUGAAAAGAAAA